RNAcentral lists this long non-coding RNA (2101 nucleotides) under Mytilus galloprovincialis (Mediterranean mussel). Lineage: Eukaryota; Metazoa; Mollusca; Bivalvia; Mytilida; Mytilidae. The record is from RNAcentral.
GGUUGAUCAAGAUAAUCAUAAUCCCGAAAUACUUCAAAUGAUUUUUGGUGUAUUAUGAAAGUUCUUUAUAAAUAUGUUCGGAGAGAAUGUUUAUUUGUACAAACUUUAUAACUUCGUUCAGUUUUUAUUUUGGUGGUGGUCUAUUUUGACCCAAUAUAAAUAAAUUAAUCCUGUAUAUAUUAUAAUAAUAUAUUGCCCCGUUUGCAAGUAAAAUAAAAAAUAAAGCAACACAAUUUGUUUUUCAGACGAGCGUGCAAGACAAGGUUAGUACAAACAUCAGUAGGAAAUCAAUCAGACAAACAAUGUUAUCUUGAAAAAGAAAGUAUUUUCAACAGAAAGUGAUCUCAAAUUGACAAGGGCUUACUGUAUUACAAAAGUAUUUUUUUACAGAAUUAGGAUAAUAUUCCCUUCGUCAUAAACCUUGCGUUGUUUGUUUGAUAAAUGAUUACCAUAGCUUGAUUGCAUGACCAUACAAAUAUACACCGUAUUUUGACUUUUGAUAAGGUUGGUACAAUGAUAAACUAACCGUACAGAUAUGAUAUUCUACGUCAUUGAUGUUGCCUUGGAAUAUCUAUAUUUAGGUGCACGGACGCUUUUCCAAAUCUUAUAUUUACCUCUCCUAGUAUUUGCCACUGUAAAUAUAAUGUUUUAUUAAAGAGGAUUUUCUAUGCUUUUAGCCAGUGAGAAAACAUAUUGUCAUAUAAUAAUACAAUGUAAUAUACUUUAGCCAUCAAUAAAUACAACCUAACGUUGAAAAUUAAUUUGUGAGUAGCACAAUUGUUUAUGUUUAAUUACGUAAAUAUUAAUGAUUCCCCUUUCCCCUUCGCCGCGAGAGGAAAUUGCUGUUCUACAAUAUCAACUUCGAUGUAAUUAUAUAAUAGAAACGAUAUCAAUGUUAUGCAUUACUUUAAAGUUUAAUCUUAGUAUAUGUCUUUUUAAACAGCGAUCUCGGCACGUAAGUUACAUAUACUUCAUAGUAUGUUUUUAUUUUGUCAUAUGUGAACCGAUUCCUUUAAAUUAUUGAAUGCUAAUAUUUACAUUUUUUAAAUAACACUUACUCGUUAUUAUCAUAAAAAUACUUGUUUCCUAUUUUCCUCGUCGUACUGUCAAACAGAUGAAGGUUAAUGGAGCACCCGUUCAGUUGUGGAUGUAUAAAUUCGCAGCCCUUACAUAUAAUGUAUAUGUUUGAACUUUGACGAUUAUUCUAUUCUCAAAAGUUCGAAUGACCAUUCACAAUAAAAUCUUUUGAAUGAAAGAAACUCGUAAAUCAUGAAUAUUUCAGUAAAACAUGUAUAAUUCACCGUCAGAUUAGUCGUACGAUUGUUUGUGAAACAUAAAAUUAUGGUAUUAAGACGGAAAAUCCCGAUUUUGGUUGUUACAUCCCGAAACUUGUUCGAUAAGUCUUCCUACGACCAGUCGUGAAUCUUACGAUUUGCGAAUAUUUUUGACACGAUAGCAAGUUAUACGGUAUGAUAUAUUAGAAUGUUUGAACCUACGUCAUGAUCACUUAUUUAUUUAUCGUUUCAGAUUGAUCUUGUAUGCUGAUAUGUCUAUCAGGUUGAUUUUGUGUUUUUUUUUCUAUUUUCAAAACAAGUUAAAACAGCAGGAAUGUUAUCUGAACUACUGCUGCCUGUUUUGAUAAAACAAAAUGCUCUAUGCAUACAGUGGUUAUAUAUUUAUUUUGAAUUCACCGACAAACUAUGACUGUUAUUAAUCAAAGAAACUGGUUUGCCAUAUUGAAUGGCUGGUCUUUCUUUAUCCCUUUGUAAACAUUUUAAUGGCUAUUUCAUUUUAAUUUACCGUUGUUCAUAUAAAAAUACAUUGUUUUGUAUUGUCUGAUUCUAUUUCAGCCUUAGGAUGCAACAUACCACCAUUGUGUGCUAUAAAAGAUGUGUUAAAUGAUGAACCCUGUACCGCUUCUGAACCAACAAUCGACGAUGGAUUAAUUUGCAACAACUGUAAAACACCGGUAUAAAAAUAGAAUCUACAGAAUGAACUAGAAUCAGGAAUAAAUGUGAAACAAAAUCCGUGUAAGAAAUCAUUGUCAUCUUACAAAUAUAUAUAAAUCUAUUGCGCAAAUAAAGAUUUCAAAAACUACAAA